Molecule: ribosomal RNA, 455 nt
Filed under: uncultured bacterium
Lineage: Bacteria
Description: bacterial SSU rRNA
Rfam family: Bacterial small subunit ribosomal RNA
Source: RNAcentral
UACGGAAGGCAGCAGUGGGGAAUAUUGCACAAUGGGCGAAAGCCUGAUGCAGCUAUGCCGCGUGUAUGAAGAAGGCCUUAGGGUUGUAAAGUACUUUCAUCGGGGAGGAAAAACAAAACUAAUAAUUUUAUUUCUUGACGUUACCCGAAAAAGAAGCACCGGCUAACUCCGUGCCAGCAGCCGCGGUAAUACGGAGGGUGCUAGCGUUAAUCAGAAUUACUGGGCGUAAAGAGCACGUAGGUGGUUUUUUUAAGUCAGAUGUGAAAUCCCUGGGCUUAACCUAGGAACUGCAUUUUGAAACUGAAAUACUAGAGUAUCGUAGAGGGAGGUAGAAUUCUAGGUGUAGCGGUGAAAUACGUAGAUAUCUGGAGGAAUACCUGUGGCGAAAGCGGCCUCCUAAACGAAUACUGACACUGAGGUGCGAAAGCGUGGGGAGCAAACGAGGAUUAGAUACC